This 589-nucleotide ribosomal RNA is filed under the name Oceanobacillus oncorhynchi subsp. incaldanensis. Its description in RNAcentral is "bacterial SSU rRNA". It matches the Rfam family "Bacterial small subunit ribosomal RNA", at positions 76 to 650 of the family's 1533-position model. The record is from RNAcentral. Lineage: Bacteria; Bacillati; Bacillota; Bacilli; Caryophanales; Bacillaceae.
GAGGGACGUUCGUGGAACGAGCGGCGGACGGGUGAGUAACACGUAGGCAACCUGCCUGUAAGACUGGGAUAACUCGCGGAAACGCGAGCUAAUACCGGAUAAUACUUAUGAUCUCCUGAUGAUAAGUUGAAAGGCGGCUUUUGCUGUCACUUACAGAUGGGCCUGCGGCGCAUUAGCUAGUUGGUGAGGUAACGGCUCACCAAGGCGACGAUGCGUAGCCGACCUGAGAGGGUGAUCGGCCACACUGGGACUGAGACACGGCCCAGACUCCUACGGGAGGCAGCAGUAGGGAAUCUUCCGCAAUGGACGAAAGUCUGACGGAGCAACGCCGCGUGAGUGAUGAAGGUUUUCGGAUCGUAAAACUCUGUUGUCGGGGAAGAACAAGUAUGAUAGUAACUGAUCGUACCUUGACGGUACCCGACCAGAAAGCCACGGCUAACUACGUGCCAGCAGCCGCGGUAAUACGUAGGUGGCAAGCGUUGUCCGGAAUUAUUGGGCGUAAAGCGCUCGCAGGCGGUUCUUUAAGUCUGAUGUGAAAUCUUGCGGCUCAACCGUAAACGUGCAUUGGAAACUGGAGGACUUGAGUGCA